RNAcentral lists this long non-coding RNA (271 nucleotides) under Physcomitrium patens. RNAcentral's name for it is "long non-coding RNA (PPAT_LNC004524)". The record is from RNAcentral. Lineage: Eukaryota; Viridiplantae; Streptophyta; Bryopsida; Funariales; Funariaceae.
AUAUUUGUAACGAUUAUUACAGACAAUGGAUUUGACGCGCGUUUAGCUCUCACAUUUUGGCCAUCGUCCUCAUUGACUGUAGCUUACUUUGCACUCACAAUUGCCAUGACACUCCCUCUCAAGCUCUUAAGAGCUCGUAACUCGAACUAUUACUUUUGAAUACGUAAGCAACACGAGCAACAGUAAUUACAGAAAAACAACCAAAAAUGACAAUACAAAAUGACCUCCAAUUGGUGCCCCAUUCUUGUUUCUUUACCAUCGGUGAUUACAA